RNAcentral lists this ribosomal RNA (820 nucleotides) under Leptodactylus wagneri (Wagner's white-lipped frog). RNAcentral's name for it is "partial large subunit ribosomal RNA". It matches the Rfam family "Bacterial large subunit ribosomal RNA", at positions 1678 to 2831 of the family's 2925-position model. The record is from RNAcentral. Lineage: Eukaryota; Metazoa; Chordata; Amphibia; Anura; Leptodactylidae.
AUUUUAAGAAAGAUUAAAAGAAUAANAAGGAACUCGGCAAAAUCUAACCCCGCCUGUUUACCAAAAACAUCGCCUCUUGGAACCCAUAAGAGGUCCAGCCUGCCCAGUGACCCUGUUCAACGGCCGCGGUAUCCUAACCGUGCGAAGGUAGCGUAAUCACUUGUUCUUUAAAUGAGGACUAGUAUGAAUGGCACCACGAAGGUUAUACUGUCUCCUUCCUCUAAUCAGUGAAACUAAUCUCCCCGUGAAGAAGCGGGGAUAAGCCUAUAAGACGAGAAGACCCUGUGGAGCUUUAAACACAGUAAUAAAUGCCCCCCCCCCUUUUUUUCUAUUCAAAUCUCCGGAAAACUACUUUAUCUGAGCAUCCUAUUUACAAGUUUUAGGUUGGGGUGACCGCGGAGUAAAAAAUAACCUCCACAGUGAAUGGAAUCUUUUUCCUAAACUCAGGGCCACAACCCUAAAAAUCAAUAAAUUGACACCCAUUGACCCAAUAUUUUGAUCAAUGAACCAAGUUACCCUAGGGAUAACAGCGCAAUCCACUUCAAGAGCUCCUAUCGACAAGUGGGUUUACGACCUCGAUGUUGGAUCAGGGUACCCCAGUGGUGCAGCCGCUGCUAAAGGUUCGUUUGUUCAACGAUUAAAACCCUACGUGAUCUGAGUUCAGACCGGAGUAAUCCAGGUCAGUUUCUAUCUAUAAAGAGUUUCUUCUAGUACGAAAGGACCGAAAAAACAUGGCCAAUGCCACCUGUAAGCCAUACAACCUAUUUAUGACACAGCCUCAAUAAAAAAUAUGUCUCUAAAACAGCUUAAGAAAAGAGCA